UGCAGCUAUUGUUAUUAAACAACAAUAUAAAUUAUAUUGUUUACAAUAUAAUUUAUAUUGUAAACAAUACAAAUAUUUUUUUUAGAUAUAUUAUACAUAUAAUAUAUCUAAAAAAAUCAACUAACACAAAAAAAUAGUACCAUUUUGUUGGGUCAACCCAGUUGGUCAAACAGUUGUGUUUCAUAUUUCCCUUAAAAUGGUGUGAGAUAUAGUGUGUAUAUUUCAGUAUGAGUUAUUAUAAGACAAUGAUUGAAAGAAAUUGACUUUGUUGAAUAUGCUGGAUUCUGACACAUUAGAAACUUAAAAAAAAAAUUAUUUAAAACAGUCAGCAAGUGGUUAGUAUAGUGGUUAAUUUUAACUCCACACAUUCUAUGUCGUCU
Non-coding RNA from Hydra vulgaris (swiftwater hydra), 380 nucleotides. The record is from RefSeq and is a predicted model, not a curated record. Lineage: Eukaryota; Metazoa; Cnidaria; Hydrozoa; Anthoathecata; Hydridae.